GGUACUUUGUUUUCAGCAAUUCGUCGUCCUAGCUACAACCCACCAGAGUAGACUGGCUGGCUCUUAGUGACCACUUUUUUCAAGAAAGCAUUACAUGAAGUCUGCAAAUGAAUUUACAUGAUAAAUAUAACUUACUGAAAAUAUCACAUCCUGUCAAAGAGAAUUCUCCUGCAAAAACACGCUUUGUUCCCGCUUUUCUAACAUUUCAUUAGUAGUUUAUUUUGGUGUUGCAGUCAACUUAUUGGAACAGGGAUUUGAUUUCUCAAAUGAGAACUGAUAUUGCACGAAAUGUUAACUAAAGUUUUUAUUUUCCCAACAUUCUCAUGAGUUGUACACUACAAUUUCGAAAAUCAUAACGUCUGGAAGAGAGAGAGAGAGAGAGAGAGAGAGAGAGAGAGAGAGAGAGAGAGAGAGAGAGAGAGAGAGAGAGAGAGUUAUAGUACUUCAGUGUCCCGGAGAAACGAAUAAUCAAAUACCUGCCAGAUAUAAUAAUUGGUACCUUCUCUAAAGCAGCUGAUUAUAUUGACCUCAAAUGACUUCGUUUCCCCAUAAAUAUCUCGGUGCCUUUGAUGCAAAUCUAAUCAUUAACAUACUACUUUCGAAGGACAAACGUUACUAUCCCAAAUACCCCAAAUUUUUCGCAACUGAGGGGCCAAACUCCGCCCAUAUCAGGGUUUAUCCUCGGCGUAUUCAGCCGUCAGGAGUCUUCAGUCCAGGCUAAACUUCGCACUCGAUACACCUACAGUAUUUCUUCGCAACACGAUGAAGUUGACCACUCUCGUGACACUGGCUCUCUGCCUCCUCCUUCUGGGAUCCGAUUUAAUGAUUCCAGGACCUGGGUCCUCGGCCCUUGCCAGCCCAAUGCCAGGUAGGGGAGGGGGAGGUCGAGGAGGAGGAGGAAAAGGAGGUCGAGGAAGAGGAAAAGGUCGAGGGAAAGGAGGCCUCGGGAGGCCAGGAUUGGGGGGAGGCAGAGGCACAAGCUUAGGACACGGAGGUCGAGGAGCGUUCCAGGAUCGUAGGAAACAGGGCUCCAAUUUUGGCAAUUUCGUGCCUUCCGGAGUCCCUGGUCCCUGAAGACGAUAGAGUCUCAUCCGCUCUCCACUGGUGCUAAAGAAGACUCGUCAACACUCAUCCCUGCUUCUAUUAGUAGCCACAAAGGACCUUCAACUUAUUAUUUUUGAUACUAAAUAAAACUCAUCCCUGCUUCUACUGGUAGCCAAGAAGGACCUUCAACUUACUAUUUUUGAUACUAAAUAAAACAAGGCGUGAUGAGACCUCCAGCUUACUCGGGUCGCGGGCUAAAAUCGACGAAAAUUCAAAAUAAAUAUGCUAUAUUUCAUUAGAAAUAGUUAUUCUGUAUUGUUUAGCAUGCACACUAUUUAUUUUGACAUUUUCCUUCGUAUAAAUAAAUCAUGACUAUCUUACCUAGAA
This is a long non-coding RNA of Macrobrachium nipponense, 1431 nucleotides long. RefSeq lists it as uncharacterized. The transcript has 2 exons. The record is from RefSeq and is a predicted model, not a curated record. Lineage: Eukaryota; Metazoa; Arthropoda; Malacostraca; Decapoda; Palaemonidae.